This 495-nucleotide ribosomal RNA is filed under the name uncultured bacterium. RNAcentral's name for it is "partial 16S ribosomal RNA". It matches the Rfam family "Bacterial small subunit ribosomal RNA", at positions 28 to 507 of the family's 1533-position model. The record is from RNAcentral.
GACGAACGCUGGCGGCGUGCCUAAUACAUGCAAGUAGAACGCUGAAGGAGGAGCUUGCUUCUCUGGAUGAGUUGCGAACGGGUGAGUAACGCGUAGGUAACCUGCCUGGUAGCGGGGGAUAACUAUUGGAAACGAUAGCUAAUACCGCAUAAGAGUAGAUGUUGCAUGACAUUUGCUUAAAAGGUGCAAUUGCAUCACUACCAGAUGGACCUGCGUUGUAUUAGCUAGUUGGUGGGGUAACGGCUCACCAAGGCGACGAUACAUAGCCGACCUGAGAGGGUGAUCGGCCACACUGGGACUGGGACACGGCCCAGACUCCUACGGGAGGCAGCAGUAGGGAAUCUUCGGCAAUAGACGGAAGUCUGACCGAGCAACGCCGCGUGAGUGAAGAAGGUUCUCGGAUCGUAAAGCUCUGUUGUAAGAGAAGAACGAGUGUGAGAGUGGAAAGUUCACACUGUGACGGUAUCUUACCAGAAAGGGACGGCUAACUACGUG